AUUGAACGCUGGCGGCAUGCCUUACACAUGCAAGUCGAACGGCAGCACGGGAGCAAUCCUGGUGGCGAGUGGCGAACGGGUGAGUAAUGUAUCGGAACGUGCCCAGUCGUGGGGGAUAACGUAGCGAAAGCUACGCUAAUACCGCAUACGAUCUAGGGAUGAAAGCGGGGGAUCGCAAGACCUCGCGCGAUUGGAGCGGCCGAUAUCAGAUUAGGUAGUUGGUGGGGUAAAGGCUCACCAAGCCGACGAUCUGUAGCUGGUCUGAGAGGACGACCAGCCACACUGGGACUGAGACACGGCCCAGACUCCUACGGGAGGCAGCAGUGGGGAAUUUUGGACAAUGGGCGCAAGCCUGAUCCAGCAAUGCCGCGUGCAGGAUGAAGGCCUUCGGGUUGUAAACUGCUUUUGUACGGAACGAAACGGUGAGCUCUAAUACAGUUUGCUAAUGACGGUACCGUAAGAAUAAGCACCGGCUAACUACAUGCCAGCCGCCGCCGUAA
This 500-nucleotide ribosomal RNA is filed under the name uncultured bacterium. RNAcentral's name for it is "partial 16S ribosomal RNA". It matches the Rfam family "Bacterial small subunit ribosomal RNA", at positions 30 to 523 of the family's 1533-position model. The record is from RNAcentral.